RNAcentral lists this ribosomal RNA (522 nucleotides) under uncultured bacterium. Its description in RNAcentral is "partial 16S ribosomal RNA". It matches the Rfam family "Bacterial small subunit ribosomal RNA", at positions 355 to 886 of the family's 1533-position model. The record is from RNAcentral.
UGGGGAAUCUUGGACAAUGGGGGCAACCCUGAUCCAGCCAUGCCGCGUGGGUGAUGAAGGCCUUAGGGUCGUAAAGCCCUUUCGCUGGGGAAGAUAAUGACGGUACCCAGUAAAGAAGCCCCGGCUAACUCCGUGCCAGCAGCCGCGGUAAUACGGAGGGGGCUAGCGUUGUUCGGAAUGACUGGGCGUAAAGCGCGCGUAGGCGGAUCAGGAAGUUGGGGGUGAAAUCCCGGGGCUCAACCUCGGAAUGGCCUUCAAAACUCCUGGUCUUGAGUUCGAGAGAGGUGAGUGGAAUUCCGAGUGUAGGGGUGAAAAUUCGUAGAUAUUCGGAGGAACACCAGUGGCGAAGGCGGCUCACUGGCUCGACACUGACGCUGAGGUGCGAAAGCGUGGGGGAGCAAACAGGAUUAGAUACCCUGGUAGGUCCACGCCCGUAAAAUCGAUGAAUGCCAGACGUCGGGGGGCUUGCCCUUCGGUGUCACACCUAACGGAUUAAGGCAUUCCGCCCUGGGGGAGUACGGU